UGGGGAAUUUUGGACAAUGGGCGCAAGCCUGAUCCAGCCAUGCCGCGUGCAGGAUGAAGGCCUUCGGGUUGUAAACUGCUUUUGUACGGAACGAAAAGGUGCCUUCUAAUAAAGGGCGCUCAUGACGGUACCGUAAGAAUAAGCACCGGCUAACUACGUGCCAGCAGCCGCGGUAAUACGUAGGGUGCGAGCGUUAAUCGGAAUUACUGGGCGUAAAGCGUGCGCAGGCGGUUUUGUAAGACAGAGGUGAAAUCCCCGGGCUCAACCUGGGAACUGCCUUUGUGACUGCAAGGCUGGAGUGCGGCAGAGGGGGACGGAAUUCCGCGUGUAGCAGUGAAAUGCGUAGAUAUGCGGAGGAACACCGAUGGCGAAGGCAAUCCCCUGGGCCUGCACUGACGCUCAUGCACGAAAGCGUGGGGAGCAAACA
RNAcentral lists this ribosomal RNA (427 nucleotides) under uncultured bacterium. Its description in RNAcentral is "bacterial SSU rRNA". It matches the Rfam family "Bacterial small subunit ribosomal RNA", at positions 355 to 774 of the family's 1533-position model. The record is from RNAcentral.